This 6612-nucleotide long non-coding RNA is filed under the name Sus scrofa (pig). RNAcentral describes it as "lncRNA (ENSSSCG00065054636.1)". Lineage: Eukaryota; Metazoa; Chordata; Mammalia; Artiodactyla; Suidae. The record is from RNAcentral.
GCUCACAGGGUAGCCAGACACCGUCCAUCUGCAUCUAGCCCUAUAAAAUCCAUCCUGUUCAUGGUAGCAAUGGUCUCUUUCUGCAACAAGACCUCGGUCACGUCACUUUCCUUAUCCAGAGUUGAUGGGAGUUCUUGAGGAGCUACCACUUUGAGCCAAAAUUUCUCAGCAGGUCUGGCUUGAAUAGAGACCCUUUCAGAGGAAGCCUGCAGCCAGCCAGUGAAGCCACCAGGAAGGCUACUACAACCUUACAAGUCCACAGAGCUAUUUGCUAUAUUGACCAUAAGGGUCUGUCACUGGGACCAGGAGAGGGGAUUGUCAACCCUGUGUUAGAAUCCUCUGGAAGAUUUGUUAAAAAUAGAUUACUGGGUCUAGUCUCAAGUGUUCUGAUUCAGAUCUGGGGGAGUGUCAAUUUGCAGCAUGUUUUGAGGUCACGGCCAGGAUUUGGGCACUUCUUCCAGUGCAGUGGGCACGUGUUGAAGGGUCUAAAACAGUUGAGUGCCACGGGCCGGGGGUUGGCUUUACCAUGCAUCCUGGCUUCCUCCUCUCGCUCAGGAACUCAUCAAGGCUGUCUCCCCAGUGCUUUAAAUGGAGCCAGCCUUUCAUCAUGCUAAGUGCCUCUCAGAACCUGUUUCGCCCUAUAACUGCACCAAACUCACUCUUCCUUCAAGCGCUCUAGCGGGCCCCUCUUGUGUGCUGGGCCCUUUACAGAUAAGAGCCUGCACACGUGUCUCUUCAUUUGACCCACGCUAGGAGAUGCCAGGGAGGGCAUUAUAAACCACGCUGUCCUAAUGUCCAAAUGACACAGGACUUGGUUGGGGCCACAGAGAAGGUAAGUGAGAAAACCAGGCUUUGAACCCGGGUCUCCUUUCCCAAACCUGCUGCUCCGUCUGCCACCACCCGUUGCUUUUCCCCCGCAUCCUUGCUGGGUCCAGGCCGCCUCUUCGGGCUCCUGCUUGGCACUUCCGGAAUCUGAUUUCCAGGAAGAAGGCACCACACAGUAACAGUGUGCAUUCCGGGCGGGCAGCCCCAGUGGCAGAGAACUUUCCUCUUUGGGCACAUAGACAGGGGUUUACAAAACUUCCCACAGGGGCUUGCUAAAGCCUCUGCCAGAGUGUCAGCGUUCAGAGCACAAACAGCCACAUUAACCAGGUCCCGCCCCCGUGUCUCUUGCCCGGUGAACACUGGCAGCCACCUACAAAGGCGGUAGCCUGGUCAUCUGUUUCAUCUAUUCUGAUGGAAACUUCACACGCACACCAUUUUGGCCACCUUGCACCUACUGUUUUGCAUUUAGGGGCAAUAUGCAUUGUCCUCUUCUGGUGCCCAAACAGAUAGACAAACAACAGCAACAACACAAACCCUUGGCCUCUUUGAAGAAGUCUCCUGGAAGCACGUUUCAGCUGGCCUGGGAAAAUGUCUCUGAAUGUUUUCUGAUGGAGGCCUUGGAGGCCAAAAUUCCACAGACUUGAAUAGGAAUAGUCAGGGGCAGGCCCACGUGUCUCGUUGUUUCGGAACCUUGGACGAAAUUAGGAGCAGCUGCUCCGGGCCAAGCAGGAGUGCUUUAUGACGUGCUGACACCUCCAGGAGGUCCUCCAGGCAGCGAGGUGCCAUCUCAGGAGGAUGUGAGUUUAUGACUUGCCCCUCUGCAGCCUCCGGAAUGCAGGCUUCCCAUAUGCUUACUGGUGAUGUAAAAAAGGAAUGUGUUCAGAGUCACCUUUGCCCAGGGUCUGGCCACGCCCACACCCCAUUCCUCGAGGUUUUGGCCUUCAAAGGGAAGAGCAAAUCCUCCCCUGGCAGCACACGCUGCUUCCCUCCGAUGUUGCUACAGCUCUGAUAGAGGUGCUCCUGGUCACGUCCCAUUGAGGAUGCGUUGUGGCUCACGGAGAGAGCCAACGCCAACCUGGGUUCCGAUUGCGGCUCUGCCUCUUUCUAGUUAUAUGAUCUGGGCAGGCCUCCUUGGUCUCCUCACCCGCCAGAGAGGACCAAUGGAGUACCAAUCUGGUAGUAGCUGUUAUGGAUGAAAAGCUUGAUUGCAUUAGGCAUGGUGCUAAGCUGUUGCUAUGGAGUAUUUAAUUUUGUAUUUACGAGAUUCCCAUGAUGGGCAUCAUUUUUCAGAAGAGGAAAGGAGGCUCGGAGAGGUUAGGAAGUUGUCCAAUGUCACACAGCUGGCAGGAUUCAAAUCUGCCGACUACAGGGCAGACCACUACAGUGUCCUAGAUUUUCUCUUGAACCAUCAUGUGAAUCAGUGCUACUUAAAUCAAAUAUCACUCAAGACCUGGCUUGAGCUGCAGCUCCCUCUGCAUUGGUUCCCUUGCCCCAUGCCUACCUCUAGAGUGAAGAAGGCAGAUAAACAGACUAUGGUAUCAAGCACUGUGGCUCAGAGCUGGCAGGGAGCAGAAUGGGGCUCAGCUUCUUGUGAGUUCCUGUGCUAGGCAUAGAGGCUGGCUGCCCCGAGGCCUGGGCCACCACUCAGGUCUUUGCACUGCUCUGAGUUAAAGAUCCAUUUUAGUUUUAAGAACAGUAGCCGACAGGAAUGGUACGCCUGAAUGGUGGUGAGGAGCUCAGUACCAGCUCUGCAAUAGCCCUGGGCAUGUUAUUUUGUUGCUCUGAGCCUCAGUUUCCUCAUCUGCAAGAUGAGAUGAUGAUAGUUCUUAUUCUUCAGGAGACUUGUGAGGCCCAAUAAGAUGGAGCAUGUAAAGCAUUUAGUAUUAUAUCUGGUAUAGGAUAAACAUUCAAUGGAGGACAGACACUAUUAUCCUACUCUAAAGAUUUCAAAUGAAAGGCAGACACUAUUAUCCUACUCUAAAGAUUUCAAAUGAAAGACAGAAAAAGAAUAGGGCACUGAGCCUUCAUGAUGAAAAUAUUUUAGGAAACAGAAAGUAAGAACAUCAAAGAAAGAGACACAACUGUAAUUUUACACCCAGCAGACCUCCCUGCCUCUCUGUCCUUUAUUCUCUGUAUAUCUAUUUUGAACCUUCCUUUUAAAUAUCUCUAAACUUUUCUCAAGCAAUACAAGAAGUCUCAUCCCCACCCUAGCCCAAGGGAAAGAGAAGAUUCUAAAGAUGCUGCUUAUGUCUGGUUUCUGCUGAGAAGGGCAGAGCAUUACAUCCCCAAGAGCACGGGUUGUCCUGUACUCUGAGUACCCUGGUCAGAGUUGACCGUGUGUUGUGCUUAAGGCACAUAAUUAGUUGUGCCUUUUUCCUGAGGUCUUUUAAAGAAACCCUUCCAUUCCCACAGAGUCCAUUUGAAUCGCAUAAACAGUAAAAUUCUUUUUGUGUUAACCUUAAGUGGGGAGUGAGUAGUUUGCAGAAAUGUCCAAGAAGCAAUCAUCUUAUGGGAGCUGAACUCUGUCAUGGGGCCCACACCAAGAAUUCCACCCAAGAGGGCAGCAAAAAUAUAUUGCCUGUGGAUAACAGACACUGUUUAUGAAUAACACAGUAUCCACAUGCCCGUGCUUUGCUGACAACACUCUGAUUUUGCUUAGAGCAGCAAUGAACUCAGUUCCCAAUGAUAUACACACUUUCUCAGACAUCCUUAUAUCUAGGGGAAGUCAUAUAUCAUGUUCUUGACAGUGAAACGUGCAUGUGGGAGAGAUUUGGGAGCUCUGUGGAAAGCAUGUACUUCUUCCCUUCCCCCUUAUUUCUACCUUGAGCACAGACAUGGCAGGUCAACCAUCGCUGGCAUCUUGAAAACGAGAUGGAAAAGUGGAACAAACUGCAGGGAUUGUGGUCCUGACACCUCUGAGCUGCUGAAUUAUAGCCAUAACAUUCUACCUCCAUCUAUAUUAUGUAAGAAAAACAAACUCCUUCCUGGUGAGGGAGAGGGCUAGCGUGGCAGUUGGGUUGACCAGAUGACUGAUGCUUUGGGGCAGAUACCUGAAAGAGGGCACUGUGGGGUUGGUACAAGUAUUCCCACCCACCCUGAUCCUUCCCAUCCCACAGUAAAAAAAUUACUUAAGUCGCUUUAAUAGGAUUUUCUAUUACUUGCAGCCUAAAGUAUUCUUAAUGGAGAAGCAGGGCUCCAGGUAACCUUUGGAGACCCAGAUAAGGAAAACUGGAAAGUAAAUUUGGGGUUGGAUUUUACUUUCUGACUAUGGUGUCUCCUCUCUUUGUGGUUAGAGCUUGGCUGAACCCUUGUGGUUGAACCCUUGGAGAGCAGCAGGGUGUGGUCAGAAAAUCUAGAUCAGGAAUUCUCACUGUGUCACAGACAAGAGAGCAGUGAAGGUCCUUGAGUUCAAAAAGUCAUAGCCUUUUGGAGAAGGAUGUUCUCUCAGAGAGUGUUCUGAACCCCACCCCUUGCCCCUGUUUCCCCCACACCCACUGCGGAGUUCCUAUUCAGCUUUGUCAGAUUACUCACCAUUUCCUGAACAUUCUGUGCCUGGCUUGAUCCAACUCCUUGGCUCCAAAGUCCCCAUCAUCUCCUCUUCCACUUCCCUUUUUGGCUUAUCUUUCAAGGUCCCACUUGGUGACCUCUUCUGUCCGGUCCUUCCGACCAUCCCCAUGCCUUUCCACCCACGCAGGAUGCACUGCUCCUUCUGCUGGGUCAUCUCAGUGACUCCACUCUGAUAUCUUUUCCAGCCCUCGUUCAUCCAACAAGUGCCUAUCCCUUGGCAUGAGGCGAGGCACUUAGCACUGGACAUUAUAAUUCACUGUAGACAUAUUUAUGUCACCCACCAGGGUCAGAUUUCUUUAAGGACAGGGUCCAUUUAUCCUGAUCAUUUAUAUUAUUUCCAGCGCCUAGAAUGGUACAUAAAGACAGCAACCAGAGUUUGGGUAUUCAAGUUUAGUGCUUCUUAAAAUGUGUGCUUUGGAACAUCAAUUUCCAGGGUGAUCUUAGGAAUUUCACACCGUGGUUAAAUAGGUGUGGAGAACGCCAGCCUGUGUGAGAUUUCUCAAAGCCUUAACCACAUGUGAAUCACCGCGAGGGAGACUGAGUAUUCAAGGCUUCUCCAGUGGAUUUGACUGUGGGAUCUCUUUCUCACAGAGAACUUUGAGGGACUAAAAUGCUGAGGAAUGCAUUUUGGAAACCCCAAGUCAGACAACUCCUUUGUUUUGUUUUAAAAGGGAAGCAUAAUCCAGUGUCUUUCUUAAGGUCUACCACUUGGUUGGAGGCAUAGAGGAGAGGCCUACCAUGGGUGACCUCAGGGGUUGCCAGACAGACGAGCUCUGAGCUGUGGUUGAAGAGGCAGCAGACUGAGGGGCCAGGAAGACCUGGGCUCCCAUCCGGAUUUUCCACUUCUUACCUGUGUCACCUAAGCAAACACUCCAAACUCCCUUGGUCUCAGAUUUCUCAUCUUUAAAAUGUAGCUAGUAGUGCCUAUCUCCCAUGGCACUUGUGAUGUCUGAAGGGUCUAGCCUGUGAUAAAGGCUUAAAAAAUGGUUGCUAUGGAAGCCAACAGUUCUCCAGAUUUCUUGGGAUGUGAGGCAAGAUCCUGCCAAUAUUAGAGGUAAACACUGAAGAAUAAUCAACAGUACCUUGGGUACACACACCAAUGAUACAUAGAGAUGUAGCCAGGAAGCCUCGCUAGGGGAAAGGUGCGAACUCUCUGGUCCAAUAUUACCAGUAAGACAAGAGUCUGGUUCAUUCUGCAAUCCUCCUCCCUGUGCCUGGAGACUGCUGAAUAAAACAACAUCCUAACAUCCUUCAGUCCUUGAAAACAGCUUCUUUCCCCAUCCUGGUGGCCAUGUUUUCAUGGUCCUCCAAGCCCCAGCGUGAGCAGUGGUGCAGCUGGACCUGUGCAUUCUCCUCUCCCUCCUCGAUCUGCCGUGACCUGACCUCUGUGCAUCUCUUUGCCACUUUUCUCCACUCUGUCACUCUCUGCUUUAGUGACACUGACCUUCUGUCACUUCAUGGCAUCCUGGGGCUCCUCCCUCCCACCUCAGGGCCUUUGCUCAUGCUCUUUCCUCUCUCUGGAAGCCUUUCCUUCUCUCUUCCAGUCUAAUUUUUCCUUCUGGUCUCAUCUCAGAUGGCACUCCCUUAAGAGAAGCCUUCCUCCAAACACAGCCACUACUUGUUCCUCCACUGUUAUCCGGGCACACCAUUUCCUCUGCUUUUUUCUUCAUACUAAGCACUGUUAGCAAUUACAUGUUUAUGCGAUUUAAAAAAAAAUAAUCUCUCUCUCCCAUUCUAGAAGUCACGCUUUGCUGACUAUUGUACCCCUGGAGCCUAAGCAGGGCGGGCUACAGAUGCCCAUCAAAUAUUGGGUGAAAUGACUGGUGAAUGAUAUACUGUCUGGUUUAUUGGGGGGGGGUGGUCUGUGGGUCUCACACUUUUCUGAAUGGGAUUGUUUCCUUUAUGGAUCUGGGAGGGAUGGGCUAGGAGGUUUGCUGAGCCUGCUUCUUUUAGGAAAAGACUGGUAUUUGAGCUUUGGUGUGUGAGUGUCCCCGUCAUGGUUCAGUGGUUAACGAAUCUGACUAGGAACCAUGAGGUUGCAGGUUCGAUCCCUGGCCUUGCUCAGUGGGUUUAGGAUCCGGCGUUGCCAUGAGCUGUGGUGUAGGUUGCAGACAUGGCUCAGAUCCGCGUUGCUGUGGCUCUGUUGUAGGCCGGCAGCUGUAGCUCCGAUUCGACUCCUAGCCUGGGAACCUCCAUAUGCCACGAGUGUGGCCCUAGAAA